Molecule: long non-coding RNA, 8348 nt
Filed under: Sorghum bicolor (sorghum)
Lineage: Eukaryota; Viridiplantae; Streptophyta; Magnoliopsida; Poales; Poaceae
Description: long non-coding RNA (SBIC_LNC005211)
Source: RNAcentral
ACUAACCGGUCUAUUACUACUAACCUUUAGGCACAAAGAAUGUCUUUCGAUGUGAGUGAUAAAUAGAGAAGACUGCAACCGUAGUCUCCUUCUAACCUUGGUAAGGAUGAUCUACUGUUCUAAUGGGGAGGCUAACGGAAUCUAGACACCACAAAGGAUGUUCAACCCGCACCUAUAAACCCUAUCCUUCCUGCUAACGAGAUGUGAUCUACAAAGGUAGCUCGGAAUUGUCACGUUCCUCACUACUACCACGGUCUAGCUAGUCAGGGAAUAUCUAUGAGUACCCCAGCCUAAACACCGCAUUUACGCCAGCAAUGAUUACUCUAAACUCUACGCGAAGAGAUUAAAGUAAACUCAUAAACCAUAAGAACAAUAAAACAAGAACUUACUAGAAUUUAGAAGUCGAAUUACUGAAGAAUCCUAGGAGCAAGCUUCGGGUUAGGAGAACUUGAUCCCGCAGGUACAAGCUUGGAGUAGACACCGACAGGCCGGGCUUCCUCCACUCUACACCUCCACUCUAUCUCUCUCAAUCUAGUAGAAACUAGAAGAUCUAUUUCUACCUUACAUUGAUUGCUAAGCCUAAAAAGAAAUAUUAAUUAGAGAAGAGGUUUUCCUUCGAGGGCACCCCUCAGUCUCUAUGAUAAUUUCUUCAUGUCUUGUCCAGGGGCCAGGGGGGCCUUGCUUAUAUAGUCCUCCCCUUCUAUGCGUUUUUGGGUCGAUAGGCGAGGUGGUACUAUGUUUUUCUUGAUCCAAUAGGUCGGUGGAAUGUCCGGAGCGAAGAGAGUACUGAUCUGGCUCCAGAGGGGGGCGGGCGCCCAGGUCCUCAGGGCGGGCGCCCUGGGCCUGGCCCCGUUUCGCCUCCGCUUCGGUCUCGUGGCUUCUGGAGUCUUCUAGAUGGUGUAAAAUUGCGCGGUGCGUUGAUAUCUCUAUGUAAUCCCGACAUGUGGGCCUUUCUUCCUUAUUUCCUGAUAACCCCCUGCAGAAACAGAUAAACAACAAAACUCGUGGAAUUCUGUCAGAUCAAACCCUAAUUCUAGGUGUUGGUUGCAUAUUGGUCCUUUCUCUUGUUUAUUUGAUAAUUAAAAUUGAUACUUAAGAACCGUCAACAAAUACCCCCAUACUUAGGCUUUUACUCGUCCUCGAGAAAAGGAUGGUUAAGAAAAAUAUCUGGGGUAAACAUUUUAAAAACAUUCUUUAUAUAAUUGCAGGGUGUUAAAAUUCCACUGUGUACCAUAGUCAGGGAAGUAUAUGGUUAAGAGUAAAGAUCCUUUCUUCUCAAUCCUAUCACUUGGAUUUUUUGUAUAUAUUUUUGAAAGAAAGUUAGCAUACCUUUUGAUCCUCAUAGGUUCUCUCAAAUCACUCAUUAUCUUUUAUAUAUAUAUCUCACUGAGGUUGUUUUAUUUUGCAAAAAUUCUCAAGCAUUCUUACUUUGCAUUUAUUGCCUCAUCAAAACGGGAUCCGAGGAGGGGAAUGUCAUACUCUUAGAUCAAAGACUUUGGAAAUUUAAAACUUUGUCAACUCUUGCUGGCAUAUUGCUUAUUAGAGGGACCAUGGGCUAUCAUUUUUUUUCUCUUUUCUCUUUUCUUCCUUUUUUUAAGUGGAUACCGAGGUACCCCUAAUUCUACUGCCGGACACUUGUCCAUUUUUUCUGCGAGGUUGUCGAGCACUUGCUCCUUUUUAUUUCCUCGAAAUAUCUCUAUUUUUGCAUAGCACAUGCCUCUAAUGCAAUAAUACUUCGGAAGAGUGAAUCUUACUGAAAUAAUGUCUUGAUCUUGGGAGCAUGAUAAAUCUCUCAACAAGGGUCUAACUCAUUUUGAACAAACUCAAUACAGAGUAGAUAGCUUUUAUAAUCAUAAUUAAUAUUUUUAGUUUUAUCAGGCAUAUAAAACAGUGAGGAUGGUAGCUAGAAUUUUGAAUAUUUUGAAAUAAAUUCUCCAAGCAACAAUGAUAUCAAGAUUAAGAAACUCAUACUCUACCAUUCCAUAUUGACUUACGUAACACAGGGUUUUAAAAUGAUUUUAUAAUAAUUGCAAUUUUUCAGGAAAUACCAUAGAUUGAGAUUAAUCAUGAUUAGAAAUAUUUUUAAUCUUUUCAUCUUAUCAUGUCGGAAACAAUAUUCUACAUAAUCCAAAAUAAAUGUAUGUGUAAAGUGUGCAGAGUGUGUACCUGAAUCGUGGAGUGAUGUAGUUGGAGUGUGUUUGGCAUGUCAAGGGAUCUCCCCCAUACUUGUUUUCUGCUUUCUUGCACAAAGAUAAAGUAGAGACACACAAGACAUAAUAAUAAUAAUAAUACUCUUUAUUAAUCUUGAGGCAUUUAUUACAAAAGACUGAUAGCAAACUAAUAAUAGCAAACUUAAACUGAAUUUAAAGAUAGAUGACUAAGAUGCAUUGCCUCAAGGUCUAAUCUAGAUAACUUAGCGGCGCUCUAAUUCUUUGAUCUUCUUGUUGGCACUGGCAAGAUCCUGCCUAAGGCCUAGUAUAAUGGUGUUGUGGUUAGAGAGCUGCCUAGUGAGGGAAUUAAUCGAGGACUGGAGGUCUAUGAUAACUCUAUCUAGCCUGCGAACUUCCUCAUCAAUAUCCAUUAUAGUCUUGCGACGCUUGGGAGGUGUCUCAAAAGCAUUGAGAGAGUGCUUCGGGGCUGCCUUUGGAGGGAUGAAACGGACUUUGGCUGCUCUAAUCCCUUCAAAGUAAGGCCUUUCCUCCUCCGUAGUGUAGCGAACACUGCUGAUCUCGCCGCUCCGGUUGGUCUUGACUCCAACGACCCUCUCAUUGGGUCUAGGUGGAAGGAUCCUUGUGCCGGUUGGCACCUUGAUAGUGGUCUUCGUCUUGGAUGAUGAUCCUGUGAGGAGUAGGGGUUGUGGCGGUGCGGUGAGAACUGGUUGAGCAUGGUAAGAUUGGGCGGAGCUGCAUUGGCGUAAUGGCAUGGCUUCUAGCUAACGCUCUGUGUUAGCCGGGACGAGAGCACGGACAUCGGGGUCUUCCACAGGCUCCAUGUUGAGGUUGAAGGGGACGACUUCCCAAUCGUCGUGGUACUUCUCAGCCAUUGGAGUAGCAAGGAACUAAUCAAACUUUAAUUGAAGGAGAGCUAAUCAAGCUCUAAUUGAAGGAGAGAAAGCUUGGUGGCUUGGUGUUUGAAAACUGAGGUCAGGGGUCUGUUUAUUUAGGGGUCAAAAGGGUGCCUUUAUGGGUUGUUCGGGUUGCUCCCGUCGACGUGCGUGCGAAACUUUCCAUCCGAGGGAUUAUUCGGAUCACCCUUAGUGCAUUUUCCAUAACAGAGAAAGUCGGGACCGAGGGGGAACAGGGGCUGGGCGCCCGCCCACUUGAUCUGGGCGCCCGCCCUCUCUCUGGCCCCUCUGUGGGCCCACUUCUCCGAGCGCGUUCUGGAUGCGGAAUUAUUUAGAAAAAUAUAUAUAUGACCCAAAACCAUCAGACCAAAAGUGUCGGGCUCUAAUUCUCCAUGGGAAGGUAAAAAUGGACUACGUCUAUUUCUUCAAAUUCCUCAUUGGGCUCUAAAAAUAAUUUAAGACGUUGACCAUUUACCUUGAAUAACGUACCUUCGCUAUUUUGAAGUGUGAUAGCUCCGUGGGAUGAUGAAUUGAUUACCUUGAAUGGUCCUUCCCAUUUGCUCCGGAGUUUUCCAUGCCCGAAAAGCUUCACCCUGGAAUUAAAAAGUAAUGCCUUAUCUCCGGGUGUGAACUCCUUCUUCUUGAUUCUCUUGUCAUGCCACCUCUUGACUCUUUCUUUGUAGAUCUUUGAAUUGUGAUAUGCCUUCUCUCGCCAUUCUUCCAAUUCUGAUAGUUGCAUUCUUCUAUAAUCUCCAGCAACAUCUAAGUCCAUAUUCCAUCUCUUUAUGGCCUAGUGUGCUUUGAAUUCUAGUUCAACAGGUAGAUGGCAAGUCUUCCCGUACACCAAUUGGUAUGGAGACAUUCCGAUUGGGGUCUUGUAUGCUGUCCGGUAUGCCCAGAGUGCAUCGGGUAGCUUGUCUUUCCACGCCGUUCCCAUUUCAUUUACUGUCUUCUGAAGAAUAUUCUUGAUUUGUUUGUUGGAAGUCUCUGCUUGGCCACUUGUCUGAGUAUGAUAGGGGGUAGCGACGUUGUGACGGAUUCCAUGUCUUGAUAGAUAUUGCUUGAAGCGUUUGUCGAUGAAGUGUGCUCCUCCAUCACUUAUCACUACUCUGGGGACUCCAAAUCUUGGAAAUAUAAUUUCUUCAAACAAUCCUCUUUGAACUGACGUUGUCGGCAUGCUUGCAAGGUAAUGCUUCUACCCACUUGGAGACAUAGUCAACUGCCACCAAGAUGUACUCACACUUCUUUGAUGGUGGAAAUGGACCCAUGUAGUCUAUUCCCCAGACAUCAAAGAGCUCAAUCUGAAGGUUGUUGGUGAGUGGCAUUGCAUCCCUUGUAUUUAUGUUUCCGUGUCUUUGACAUGGCCCACAUCUUCUGAUAUAUUGCUUCGUGUCUUCAUACAUUGUAGGCCAAUAGAAUCCACACUGCCAGAUCUUUGAAUGUAUACGGAAUGCUCCAUAGUGACCUCCAUAUGGUGACGAAUGACAUAUGUCGAUGAUCUUCCAUCCUUCCUCAGUGGUCUCACAUCUCCUGAGUAAGCCAUCAGAGCAUACUCGGAAGAGGUAUGGCUCAUCCCAUAUAUGUGAAUGACUUUCUUGAAUAAGCUUCUUCUUGUUUGCUCCUGGUGGUACAUACCCUGAAACCAUAAAAUUAACAAUAUCUGCAUACCAGGGGUCAGACCUGUUAAUCCCGUAGAGCAUGUCGUCCCGGAGUGAAUCACUGAUGGGGGUUUCCUGUGGACUCUUAAAAUACAUUCUAGACAAGUGAUCAGCAACAGAAUUUUCUACUCCCUUUUUAUCUUUUAUUUCUAUGUCAAAUUCUUGGAGUAAUAAGAUCCAUCUAAUCAGGCGAGGUUUAGCAUGAGCAAAUAUUUUAAUGCAGCAUGAUCAGUGUAAACAGUUAUUUUAGCUCCAACUAAAUAAGAUCUAAAUUUAUCAAUGGCAAAGACAACAGCCAGAAGCUCUUUUUCAGUGGUUGCAUAGUUAAGUUGAGCUCCUGUCAAAGUUUUACUGGCAUAAGCAAUUGCAUGAUGCUUCUUGUCUUUAGUUUGUCCUAAUACUGCCCCCACAGCAUAAUCACUAGCAUCACACAUAAUUUCAAAAGGUAACGACCAAUCAGGGGGUUGAAUGAUUGGUGCAGAGAUGAGUGCUUUCUUUAAUAAAUUGAAAGAUGUUAGACAUGCAUCAUCAAAUUCGAAAGGAGCAUCCUUGGCUAGCAAAAGAGUAAGUGGUCUAGCAAUAAAUGAAAAAUCUUUUAUGAAUCUACGAUAAAAACCAGCAUGGCCAAGAAAGCUUCGAAUUCCUUUUAUGUUUACAAGUGGAGGUAGUUGUUCAAUUACUUCAAUUUUUGCUUUGUCUACCUCAAUCCCUCUUUCAGACACUAAGUGUCCUAGCACUAUUCCUUCCCUAACCAUAAAAUGACAUUUUUCCCAAUUAAGGAUUAAGUGCUUUUCUUCACAUCUUUGCAAAACCUUGUCUAAGUUUUCAAGACAAUUAUCAAAAGUUUUUCCAUAAACAGAGAAAUCAUCCAUGAAAACUUCCAUAAUCUCUUCAAUCAUAUCAGAAAAUAUAGACAUCUUGCAUCUUUGAAAAGAAGCUGGUGCAUUACAUAACCCAAAAGACAUUCUACGAUAAGCAUAAGUUCCAUAAGGGCAUGUAAAAGUGGUUUUGCUUUGAUCAUCAGGAUGGAUCGGGAUUUGAUGAUACCCUGAAUAUCCAUCUAAGAAAUAGAAGAAUGAAUGGUUUGCUAACCGCUCUAGCAUCUCAUCUUUGAAAGGUAAAGGAAAGUGAUCCUUUCUCGUAGCUUUGUUUAGUUUUCUAUAGUCUAUGCACAUCCGCCAUCCUGUGACGGUGCGUUGCGGAAUUACCUCGUUCUUUUCAUUCAUAAUAACAGUCAUGCCUCCCUUUUUAGGCACAACUUGGACUGGGCUCACCCACUCACUGUACGGCACAGGAUAUAUAAUCCCUACAUGCAGCAACUUUAUAACUUCCUUUUUAACUACCUCUCUCAUAGUGUUGUUAAGUCUACGUUGGGGUUCUCGAGAGGGUGUAACAGAAGGAUCUGUUGGAAUACGAUGGGUACAAAUCAUAGGACUGAUUCCUGUAAGAUCUUGAAGUGAGUAGCCGAAAACUGAGUGAUGUUUCUCAAGAAUGGUCAUUAAUCGCAGAGUUUGAUCCUGAGUGAGUUUAUCGCUAAUGAUCACAGGGAACUCUGGAUUAUUGUUUAGGAAAGCAUAGGUAAGAUCGGGUGGUAAAGUUUUAAGCUCUAUGGGGGGUCUAGGUGUUUCUGCAAACUCAUCUAAGGGUUCAGGCUCGGAAGGUUCGUCUUCUUCUUCUGUGAAGAUAGGAGUUUCGUCUUCUAAGUCUGGUUCAUCUAAAAGCUAUAGAGAUGCAGCCUUUACUUCCUCCAUAGGAUCAGGCAAAAGAUAUGACUCGGCCUUAUUAUUUAAGGAGUGUGAAAAUAUUAUUGGGAAUUUAAAGGUUUUUCCAAAAGAAAUGUGUAGCUUUCCAGUAUGACCUUCAUAAAGGAGUCUUCUAAAAGGUUGUCCUAUCAACAGGUCGAAGUCCCAUGUAUCAAAGAUAUAGAAGUUCAAAUGAACCAUGGAGCCUUCUACCGUAAGAGGCAGGACAUUAAUAAUUCCAAGACUGGGGACUAAUCGUCCCGAAGAUUCCUUUAUGACCUUUGUUCUGGGGGUUAAGACAAGAUUUUUAAAUAGUUUAAGUGCAAAAGAUUUAGACAUGAUGUUGAUCCCCACAACUGGAUUAUAAAGAGCAUUAAAUCGAUCAGAAUUAUAAGCACAGCGUAUAAUUAUAGAGGGUGUGUCCAAACGGAUCACAUCAGAGGAAAGCUCUGAUUCCUCCAACCAUUCGCUACUCAUUACUGAGAUAAGCUCUCUCAAUUGAUAUUCACUUGGCAAAUAAAUGCUAAACUGGCCGUUUUGGGGUUUGUCAAUAGAAUGGUAGUUUGAAAUAUUUCCAAAAUCGGCAAAAAGAUCGGAUUCUAUAUCCAGCAUGAAGUCCGGUAGUGGAAUUUCUUCCUCUUGUGGCUCAGAACUUGGGAUAACUAAAGUAGAUGAAGAGUUUAGCAGAGUGUCUACUUCGGCUUCGUAGGUUUCAUCAUGAAGGGUAUUAUCCAUCUCAGCUUCUAGGAUUCUAUCUAGGAUCACUCUAGCUUCAUCAGUAGGGAUGCGAAAGAAAGAACCUCUAGACAUUGUGUGAAGCAUUUGUUUGUGAUUUUUGUGAAGACCUCGAAAAAAGUGAAACAAAAGAACAGGGUCUUCAAGAUUAAGGUUUGGACCAGAUUCUAAAAGAUCAGAAAAACGUUUCCAGGAUUUUCCCAAAGUUUCAUUAUCUUUUUGUUUAAAAGAUAGGACUUCGAGUCUAAGGAUGGCUAUACGGUCAAGGGAAUAGAAAUCUAGACAAAAGUUGGCUCGUAAAACUCCCCAUUCACCUUGUUGUUGACUUACCUUCUGACUGUACCAUUGUCUAGCUUCUCCCCUUAGAGAAAAAGGAAAAAGCUUCCAAUGUAAAGUCUUAUCAGAAAUGCCUUCAAUGCGAAGACAAUCACAUGUUUGCUCAAAAUCUCUAAUAUGAAGGUAUGGGUUUUCGUCUUCCUUUCCCAAAAAAGAUAGGUUUUGAAUCAUGGCAAUCAACCUAGAACUUAACUUAUACUGGGAUGUUUGGAUAGGCUGUGAUGAUUCCCAUGGUAAAAGGUCAGUUGCUAAAGGGAUUCCAGACUCAUGGAUCGAUUUAGAAUUUUGGUUUUCCAUAAGGUAAGAAUAAAGAAAAUAAAGGAAGAAUAUAAAAGAUAAGAAAAGAUAAAAGUAUAGAUACAAGCUAAUAGUAAGACUCAGGUUAUCUCAGCAACCGUCUUUCUCCCCGGCAACGGCGCCAGAAAUGCUUGUUGAUAUUUAGGAACGCAAUAAGGAAUUGAUCCGCAAGCGCACGGAUAUCGGUGAGCAUUUCACCCGGGAGGUUAUCCAGAGUAUCGUAUUUAUUUUUUUACCACUAGGAGAAAGAGUGCAUCUGACUAACGUGUCUAUUACUACUAACCUUUAGGCACAAAGAAUGUCUUUCGAUGUGAGUGAUAAAUAGAGAAGACUGCAACCGUAGACUCCUUCUAACCUUGGUAAGGAUGAUCUACUGUUCUAAUGGGGAGGCUAACGGAAUCUAGACACCACAAAGGAUGUUCAACCCGCACCUAUAAACCCUAUCCUUCCUGCUAACGAGAUGUGAUCUACAAAGGUAGCUCGGAAUUGUCACGUUCCUCACUACUACCACGGCCC